This 428-nucleotide ribosomal RNA is filed under the name uncultured prokaryote. RNAcentral's name for it is "bacterial SSU rRNA". It matches the Rfam family "Bacterial small subunit ribosomal RNA", at positions 355 to 774 of the family's 1533-position model. The record is from RNAcentral.
UGAGGAAUAUUGCGCAAUGGGGGCAACCCUGACGCAGCAACGCCGCGUGAGUGAGGAAGGUUUUCGGACCGUAAAGCUCUGUCGAGCGGGAAGAAAUGCAUGGUGGCUAAUAUCCAUCAUGCUUGACGGUACCGCUAAAGGAAGCACCGGCUAACUCCGUGCCAGCAGCCGCGGUAAUACGGGGGGUGCAAGCGUUGUUCGGAAUUAUUGGGCGUAAAGAGCGUGUAGGCGGCUGAAUAAGUCAGAUGUGAAAUCCCUGGGCUUAACCCAGGACGUGCAUUUGAAACUAUUCAGCUUGAGUAGGGGAGAGGAAAGUGGAAUUCCUGGUGUAGACGUGAAAUUCGUAGAUAUCAGGAGGAACACCGGUGGCGAAGGCGACUUUCUGGCCCUAUACUGACGCUGAGACGCGAGAGCGUGGGUAGCAAACA